GUUGAACGCUGGCGGCGUGCCUAAUACAUGCAAGUCGAGCGAACGGACGAGGAGCUUGCUUCUCUGAAGUUAGCGGCGGACGGGUGAGUAACACGUAGAUAACCUACCUAUAAGACUGGGAUAACUUCGGGAAACCUGAGCUAAUACCGGAUAAUAUGUUGAACCGCAUGGUUCAAAAGUAAAAGACGGUUUUGCUGUCACUUGUAGAUGGAUCCGAGCUGCAUUAGCUAGUUGGUAAGGUAACGGCUUACCAAGGCAACGAUGCAUAGCCGACCCGAGAGGGUGAUCGGCCCAACUGGAACCGAGGCACGGUCCAGAAUCCUAAGGGAGGCAGCAGUAGGGAAUCUUCCGCAAUGGGCGGAAGCCUGACGGCACAACGGCGCGUGGGGGGUGAAGGUCUUCGGAUCUUAAAACUCUGUUAUUAGGGAAGAAAAUAUGUGUAAGUAACUCUGCACUGCUUGAAGGUACCUAAUCAGAAAGCCACGGCUAACUACGUG
RNAcentral lists this ribosomal RNA (497 nucleotides) under uncultured bacterium. RNAcentral's name for it is "partial 16S ribosomal RNA". It matches the Rfam family "Bacterial small subunit ribosomal RNA", at positions 28 to 507 of the family's 1533-position model. The record is from RNAcentral.